UAGGAAUAUUGGCCAAUGGCGAAAGCUUAUCCAGCCAUCCGCGUGCAGAAGACUGCCCUAUGGGUGUAACUGCUUUUAUACGGGAAGAAACCCAUCUACGUGUAGGUGGCUGACGGUACUGUAAGAAUAAGCAUCGGCCUAACUCCGUGCCAGCAGCCGCGGUAAUACGGAGGAUGCAAGCGUUAUCCGGAAUCAUUGGGUUUAAAGGGUCCGUAGGUGGAUUAGUAAGUCAGAGGUGAAAGCCUGCAGCUCAACUGUAGAACUGCCUUUGAUACUGCUAGUCUUGAAUUAUUGUGAAGUGGUUAGAAUAUGUAGUGUAGCGGUGAAAUGCAUAGAUAUUACAUAGAAUACCAAUUGCGAAGGCAGAUCACUAACAAUAUAUUGACACUGAUGGACGAAAGCGUGGGGAGCGAACGGGAUUAGAUACCCCGGUAGUCCACGCCGUAAACGAUGGUCACUAGCUGUUCGGAUUUCGGUCUGAGUGGCUAAGCGAAAGUGAUAAGUGACCCACCUGGGGAGUACGUUCGCAAGAAUGAAACUCAAAGGAAUUGACGGGGGCCCGCACAAGCGGUGGAGCAUGUGGUUUAAUUCGAUGAUACGCGAGGAACCUUACCAGGGCUUAAAUGUAGAUUGCAUUAGCUAGAGAUAGCUAUUUCUUCGGACUAUACUACAAGGUGCUGCAUGGUUGUCGUCAGCUCGUGCCGUGAGGUGU
This 712-nucleotide ribosomal RNA is filed under the name Gelidibacter sp. GSc-1. Its description in RNAcentral is "bacterial SSU rRNA". It matches the Rfam family "Bacterial small subunit ribosomal RNA", at positions 356 to 1075 of the family's 1533-position model. Lineage: Bacteria; Pseudomonadati; Bacteroidota; Flavobacteriia; Flavobacteriales; Flavobacteriaceae. The record is from RNAcentral.